AGUGAACGCUGGCGGCAGGCCUAAUACAUGCAAGUCGAACGGCAGCACAGCAGAGCUUGCUCUGUGGGUGGCGAGUGGCGGACGGGUGAGGAAUACAUGGGAAUCUGCCCAGUCGUGGGGGAUAACGUAGGGAAACUUACGCUAAUACCGCAUGCGCCCUUCGGGGAAAGCCGGGGACCUUCGGGCCUGGCGCGAUUGGAUGAGCCCAUGUCGGAUUAGCUAGUUGGCGGGGUAAUGGCCCACCAAGGCGACGAUCCGUAGCUGGUCUGAGAGGAUGGAUCAGCCACACUGGAACUGAGACACGGUCCAGACUCCUACGGGAGGCAGCAGUAGGGAAUAUUGGACAAUGGGCGCAAGCCUGAUCCAGCCAUGCCGCGUGAGUGAAGAAGGCCCUCGGGUUGUAAAGCUCUUUUGUCCGGAAAGAAAAGCGCCGGGUUAAUACCCGUGGUGUCCUGACGGUACCGGAAGAA
This 470-nucleotide ribosomal RNA is filed under the name uncultured bacterium. RNAcentral's name for it is "bacterial SSU rRNA". It matches the Rfam family "Bacterial small subunit ribosomal RNA", at positions 29 to 486 of the family's 1533-position model. The record is from RNAcentral.